This 74-nucleotide transfer RNA is filed under the name Candidatus Aenigmatarchaeota archaeon. RNAcentral describes it as "tRNA-Gly". It matches the Rfam family "tRNA". From Rfam's summary of the family: Transfer RNA (tRNA) molecules are approximately 80 nucleotides in length. Their secondary structure includes four short double-helical elements and three loops (D, anti-codon, and T loops). Further hydrogen bonds mediate the characteristic L-shaped molecular structure. tRNAs have two regions of fundamental functional importance: the anti-codon, which is responsible for specific mRNA codon recognition, and the 3' end, to which the tRNAs corresponding amino acid is attached (by aminoacyl-tRNA synthetases). tRNAs cope with the degeneracy of the genetic code in two manners: having more than one tRNA (with a specific anti-codon) for a particular amino acid; and 'wobble' base-pairing, i.e. permitting non-standard base-pairing at the 3rd anti-codon position. The record is from RNAcentral. Lineage: Archaea; Nanobdellati; Candidatus Aenigmatarchaeota.
GCGCUGGUAGUCUAGCCUGGUUAGGACGUUGCCCUGCCACGGCAAAAGCGCGGGUUCAAAUCCCGCCCAGCGCA